RNAcentral lists this ribosomal RNA (479 nucleotides) under uncultured bacterium. Its description in RNAcentral is "bacterial SSU rRNA". It matches the Rfam family "Bacterial small subunit ribosomal RNA", at positions 25 to 518 of the family's 1533-position model. The record is from RNAcentral.
CAGGACGAACGCUGGCGGCGUGCCUAACACAUGCAAGUCGAGCGAAGAUUAUAGCAAUGUAAUCUUAGCGGCGGACGGGUGAGUAACGCGUGGGCAACCUACCUCAAACUGGGGGAUAACACAGGGAAACUUGUGCUAAUACCGCAUAACAUCAUGAAAUGACAUCAUUUUAUGAUCAAAGGAGCAAUCCGGUAAGAGAUGGGCCCGCGUCCAAUUAGCUAGUUGGUGGUGUAACGGACCACCAAGGCGACGAUUGGUAGCCGAACUGAGAGGUUGAUCGGCCACAUUGGGACUGAGACACGGCCCAGACUCCUACGGGAGGCAGCAGUGGGGAAUAUUGCGCAAUGGGGGAAACCCUGAACCGCAGCAACGCCGCGUGAAGGAUGAAGGUUUUCGGAUCGUAAACUUCUUUGAUGAGGGACGAAAGCAAUGACGGUACCUCAAAAACAAGCCACGGCUAACUACGUGCCAGCCGCCGC